This 253-nucleotide ribosomal RNA is filed under the name uncultured bacterium. RNAcentral describes it as "partial 16S ribosomal RNA". It matches the Rfam family "Bacterial small subunit ribosomal RNA", at positions 524 to 776 of the family's 1533-position model. The record is from RNAcentral.
UACGUAGGCAGCGAGCGUUGUUCGGAAUUACUGGGCGUAAAGGGUGCGUAGGCGGUGCCUCAAGUUUGGUGUGAAAUCUCCCGGCUCAACCGGGAGGGUGCGCCGAAAACUGAGGUGCUCGAGUGUGGGAGAGGUAAGCGGAAUUCCUGGUGUAGCGGUGAAAUGCGUAGAUAUCAGGAGGAACACCGGCGGUGUAGACGGCUUACUGGACCAUAACUGACGCUGAGGCACGAAAGUGUGGGGAGCAAACAGG